CGAGAGGGGAGUUUCCGGCUAACGGGACCGUAGUCACGCAUUAUCAUCCUUAUGGCGAAGAUAGAAUCGCGUCAAGUCGCUAAAGAGGAAGAGGCCACUGCAAGUGGCCGAGCCGGCAUCCUUGAAACGCACUUUGAGCGCGCAGGAUGAUCUUUCUCUCUCUUUCCCUCUCGAGUCCAGUGAGUGUCAUGUCGGCAUUUGUCGGCUAUAUCUUGUCGAAAAGAAUUGUGUACGAAACUGUGAAAUUGUGGUGUGUAUGUGUGUUUGAGCGUGUGCGCGCACGUGUGUUAACACAUUGGUCGGUAUCUUAAAAAUUAAACGUACAUCGGGCAGAAUAACAAUAGCAGCGAAUCAAUGUGUCAUCUGAUUAUCGCCCGGAACUUUAAGCGUAAGAUCUCGUUAACUUGAUCAAUUUUCUGCAUUUUUUGAGCGAGCGUAAUGGAAGGAAGUGUAACGAGUUACGCGCGCCAAAUGAUUCUCAAGCAGUUACCGGAUAUCGCUGACACCGAUAUCUGAUCGUGCACUUUCUCUUGCGGCCUCUUCUCUUUCUCUCUCUCUCUCUCUCUCCGUUGAUCUUUAACACCCCGAUAUAAAUUGAUUUCGAUUUUGCACAAGAGUGAUUUCGGCGUAACACGGUUAAGGUAAUCUCUCGAGUCGCAAUCGCAUCGACAAGUUCGUCGCGAACCUCGAAGCGGACGAUGGAUUUGCAAGAAAGUUAACGAGACCAUCCUGACGCAACAUUAAAUACAAACACGAUAAAAGAUAAUUUGUUAAUAUUAAUCCCACGGGGAACACAAUCGAUAAGCACGAGCAAGCAGGGGGCCAAAACGCAGCAAAAGGUCGACAAGAGAGCCGUUGCAGCGAGAUGAAGACCAUGGUGAAUAAUGCGCACAUAUGUGUGAGCCUCGUAUGCGUCGCAGCUUUCAUCCUCGUGAAUGUAGCGUGGCUGUUACACAUAUAUUUUCCUCCUCAUUGCAUCAAACGACCGACAUCGUUUUCCUCUUCCGAACACGAAGACUCGCCGUCUGAUGCAGAUCCUCCCUCUGGAGAACUUUCCUCGUCGAGUAUGCAACAGGUUUUAAUGGGUAAUGGACAUUGCGUCCGAAGAUCAUCCUCCUGUCGCGAUCGCAUCGCGUCUGAAUCCGUUACGUCAUGUUUACUUCUUUACAUAUGCGCGGCGGCGUUCCUGGCUUCGCAUAUCGUAAAACAACUCGCACGCGGCGUCGAAGAGCUUCGAUGGCUUCUCCUCCAAGUGUCACUGUCAACGCGCGAGAGACGUCGUGUGUGCAGUAUAUGCGUGUGCCGUAAAUUGCGAUACAGGCAGACCAGUAACGAAGCUGUUCUCGCCGAUCGUAUCGUGCGAUUCGUCAUGGAGCACAUGGAAACGAGACUGCUGCCCAAUCACGCCGCUAAAAUUCGCGAUGUGUGGACGAUUAUGGUAAAAACAAUCUCUGUCGAUCCUUCGUGAGGAAUUUCUCCUGUAAGAUCCACGAUUCCAAUGGAAUAGAGAGGAGUCGGCGGGUUCAGUUCGUUCAGAGGCAUGAGUGGAUAGCCCUAUCGGCCAGAGUGCUGACGAAACAGAAGUUGCCGGCAUCCUACGUGAUCGUCUGCCAAACCUCCACGCAUGAUUGUUCCUCGUUCACCGAGUGCUCCUUCAAAGUGAGAUUUCUUCAGACGUUCUGCAUGUGGAACCAAGGAUCGGAGAACAUCAUCUAUUUCCUCAUCGGCAAUGAUGGUCACGUUUACGUCGGCAGGGGUUGAUAUAGAGUCGGUGGACGUACUUCCGGCUAUGAUGCCCGGAAUGUUGGCGUUUCCUUCAUCAGUACCUUCCACAAAACGUCGAAGGCGCAAUUGACUGCGCCGCGAGCCCUGAUGGAAAACGGCGUCGAGCUCGGCAAACUCUCGGCCGACUACAAACUAUUAGCAAAGCGACAGAUUGAAAAUUAUGGUAGCGAAACUCCCAACCUUGAGGACGCUUUAUACGAUGUUGUUAAGACGUUGCCGCAUUGGUCGCCCGUUCCUUGACAACGCGAAUAAUUCAGUGCACGAGGGACCGCGAGAGCUGAAGGAGAAAGACGUCUCGAACGCGACAGUAAGAUUCCGAUGAUGUCGAGAUAUCGAUUUACACUUAUCUAAACUGCAGCUCUCGUUCUCUCCUUCUUAGGACACCGUUCGAAUUAUGAGGUUAUCUUCGCAUUAUCUCGCCGGUACUUGACUCGCGAUACUACACGAAGCAGCCACGUUGCGCCUUGAUAAAACCUUUCUCGCGAAUACGUAUGGGUCGAUGGAUGCUCGCAUGGUGUACGAAUAGAGGGAUACGAACACAUUAAUAAGAACGUUUCUCACGUGCGAUUAUUGCGAGUGAGAACGCGACUGCCGCUUAUGAGAUUUCCGCGAGUACGCCGCGGCGCGUUUCUCAAUAGCGAUCCGUCAAUCAAUAGCGCGCGGCAACGUGUCGCGCGCUAUUGCCAGAAACAAAUAGCUCGUAUGUUUAUCGACGACGAGCGCGCGGCUCCAUAUGCAUGCGACGCGGUUGCUUAAGUAAGGAAUGACAGACUCACUGCCAAUUAUUCGAUGGCUUCAAGGAUACUACGUUUGAGCUGUGUGCCUCCGCUCGCGAGGAGGCACAAUGGAAGUGCUCCGGCUGGAACGGAUGAUGGCUCUUUGUAUCAGCGCUCUCCACCCUUCGUAAUGCAUUCCGACAUGACUUUGCGGCAGAAUCGAGAACCAUUUGUAAAUAUUAAAUCAUUAUUCGCGGAAUAAAGGCGCAGUGAGUUGAGA
This 2781-nucleotide unclassified non-coding RNA is filed under the name Harpegnathos saltator (Jerdon's jumping ant). RNAcentral's name for it is "uncharacterized LOC109504583, transcript variant X6". Lineage: Eukaryota; Metazoa; Arthropoda; Insecta; Hymenoptera; Formicidae. The record is from RNAcentral.